This 349-nucleotide unclassified non-coding RNA is filed under the name soil metagenome. Its description in RNAcentral is "partial contains 5.8S ribosomal RNA, internal transcribed spacer 2, and large subunit ribosomal RNA". The stretch from base 1 to 120 matches the Rfam family "5.8S ribosomal RNA", at positions 35 to 154 of the family's 154-position model. The record is from RNAcentral.
GAUGAAGAACGCAGCGAAAUGCGAUAAGUAAUGUGAAUUGCAGAAUUCAGUGAAUCAUCGAAUCUUUGAACGCACAUUGCGCCCGCCAGUAUUCUGGCGGGCAUGCCUGUUCGAGCGUCAUUUCAACCCUCAAGCCCAGCUUGGUGUUGGGGAUCGGCACAGGCGCCCUCGGGCGCCCGCCGUCCCCUAAAUCUAGUGGCGGUCCCGCUGCAGCCUCCUCUGCGUAGUAGUUUUCUCCUCGCAAGGGCAGCUCGGUGGCGACCUCGCCGUAAAACCCCCAACUUCUGAAAGGUUGACCUCGAAUCAGGUAGGAAUACCCGCUGAACUUAAGCAUAUCAAUAAGCGGAGA